RNAcentral lists this small nuclear RNA (324 nucleotides) under Chinchilla lanigera (long-tailed chinchilla). RNAcentral describes it as "7SK RNA (ENSCLAG00000021647.1)". It matches the Rfam family "7SK RNA". Rfam says of the family: 7SK was discovered as an abundant small nuclear RNA in the mid-70s but a possible function has only recently been suggested. Two independent studies have found that 7SK RNA binds the CDK9/cyclin T complex (known as elongation factor P-TEFb). P-TEFb activates transcription by phosphorylating the C-terminal domain of RNA polymerase II. The record is from Rfam by way of RNAcentral. Lineage: Eukaryota; Metazoa; Chordata; Mammalia; Rodentia; Chinchillidae.
AGAUAUGAGUGUGGUAUGGCUAUGACAUCUGUCACCCCAUUGAUUGUCAGGGUUAAUUUGGCUGAUCUGGCUGGCUAGGCAGGUGUCCCCCUCCUCUCUCUCUGCUCCAUGUGCAUCCUUUCUGAAGCUGAUGUCCAUCAAAGAGGAUGAAGAGGACAACCACCCCCAAUAGAGGAGGACUGUUUCCUCAUCAAGGGUAGAUGACUAGCUGCACUCCCUUGCUAAAACCUCCAAGCAAGCUCUCUAGAACAGAAGCCUAAGUGUUCAGUGGGAACAGAAAGGGCGAGUUCUUGGAUGUGGGUGUCCUAAGGGAGCUCAUUCUCU